GGGUGGGUCUCCGUGGGUCGCUAUGGGGCAGAGCGGGCACUUGUGGGGCUGAGCCCCAUGGCGCCUCUCUGCCCCACAAGUGGAGGAGAUCCCGGAGGAGGAGGAGGAGGCGGCGGCCCCACCGCCGGCGCUGGAGGUGCCCGAGGAGCCCAGCCUGCCCCCGGAGCUCCCCCCUCCGCGGCGGCGCCGCGCCCCACGGCCGCCCCACUGGGACCCCCAAGUGCAGAUCCCGCAGCAGGAAUUCCGCCAGCAGCUGCUCGACCCCGGCGCCCGCUGCCGGCCCCUGGUGAGCCCCACAUCUAUGGGGCGGCCCCACAUCUGUGGGGCG
Molecule: long non-coding RNA, 328 nt
Organism: Numida meleagris (helmeted guineafowl)
Lineage: Eukaryota; Metazoa; Chordata; Aves; Galliformes; Numididae
Exons: 3
Source: RefSeq, a predicted model, not a curated record